GGGCCCGUAGCUCAGUUGGGAGAGCACCGGCUUUGCACGCCGGGGGUCAGCGGUUCAAAUCCGCUCGGGUCCAC
This 74-nucleotide transfer RNA is filed under the name Candidatus Fervidibacter japonicus. RNAcentral describes it as "bacterium HR17 tRNA-Ala". It matches the Rfam family "tRNA". Rfam says of the family: Transfer RNA (tRNA) molecules are approximately 80 nucleotides in length. Their secondary structure includes four short double-helical elements and three loops (D, anti-codon, and T loops). Further hydrogen bonds mediate the characteristic L-shaped molecular structure. tRNAs have two regions of fundamental functional importance: the anti-codon, which is responsible for specific mRNA codon recognition, and the 3' end, to which the tRNAs corresponding amino acid is attached (by aminoacyl-tRNA synthetases). tRNAs cope with the degeneracy of the genetic code in two manners: having more than one tRNA (with a specific anti-codon) for a particular amino acid; and 'wobble' base-pairing, i.e. permitting non-standard base-pairing at the 3rd anti-codon position. Lineage: Bacteria; Candidatus Fervidibacterota; Fervidibacteria; Fervidibacterales; Fervidibacteraceae. The record is from RNAcentral.